Molecule: unclassified non-coding RNA, 212 nt
Filed under: uncultured Actinomycetes bacterium
Lineage: Bacteria; Bacillati; Actinomycetota; Actinomycetes
Description: uncultured actinobacterium contains 16S-23S intergenic spacer region
Source: RNAcentral
UCCGAGUUGACCCCGGCAGUCUCCUGCGAGUCCCCGCCAUUACGCGCUGGCAACACAGGACAAGGGUUGCGCUCGUUGCGGGACUUAAGCCAACACCUCACGGCACGAGCUGACGACAGCCAUGCAGCACCUGUGCUAGCCCCUUACGGACACGCGCUUUCACGCGCUUUAACUAGCAUGUCAAGCCCAGGUAAGGUGGGGAUGACGUGUCG